GAUGAACGCUGGCGGCGUGCCUAAUACAUGCAAGUCGAGCGAACGGACGAGAAGCUUGCUUUUCUGAUGUUAGCGGCGGACGGGUGAGUAACACGUGGAUAACCUACCUAUAAGACUGGGAUAACUUCGGGAAACCGGAGCUAAUACCGGAUAAUAUUUUGAGCCGCAUGGUUCAAAAGUGAAAGGCGGUCUUGCUGUCACUUAUAGAUGGAUCCGCGCUGCAUUAGCUAGUUGGUAAGGUAACGGCUUACCAAGGCAACGAUGCAUAGCCGACCUGAGAGGGUGAUCGGCCACACUGGAACUGAGACACGGUCCAGACUCCUACGGGAGGCAGCAGUAGGGAAUCUUCCGCAAUGGGCGAAAGCCUGACGGAGCAACGCCGCGUGAGUGAUGAAGGUCUUCGGAUCGUAAAACUCUGUUAUUAGGGAAGAACAUAUGUGUAAGUAACUGUGCACAUCUUGACGGUACCUAAUCAGAAAGCCACGGCUAACUACGUG
This 497-nucleotide ribosomal RNA is filed under the name uncultured bacterium. RNAcentral's name for it is "partial 16S ribosomal RNA". It matches the Rfam family "Bacterial small subunit ribosomal RNA", at positions 28 to 507 of the family's 1533-position model. The record is from RNAcentral.